GGGGGGGGGGGAUUCUCUCUUUUGUAGUUCUGCCUAUGAAUUUCAUGUAAGGUAAAUAGUCGGGCCAAUCAUUAUUGGCUUUAUAUGAUUAUGCACGAUUCUUCAUUUAAAUUGUUCGGUGAUUUUUAAUUCAUAGGAAAUUAGAGAAAAGGGCAGACACGUGCAACCUGUCCCCAAAAGUAGGAUUGUGUUUUCGAUAAGAUUGUUUUAGAAAAAAAUGUGUAUUAGAUACAACAGGAAAAAGGGGGUACCCCAACCCUGGUGUCUUAUUGAUUCCCAGUCAAGGCAUAUCAGUAUGUUC
RNAcentral lists this long non-coding RNA (301 nucleotides) under Mytilus galloprovincialis (Mediterranean mussel). Lineage: Eukaryota; Metazoa; Mollusca; Bivalvia; Mytilida; Mytilidae. The record is from RNAcentral.